UUUCGACCUGCGCGUGAAAGAACACCAGAAGGAGGAAGAGAAGAGGCGGAGGACAAAGAUGCGAAAGCGAAAGCGAACCGAUUGGUAGCUUUUCGAGGAAUUUACGACACGCUAAGAAGCGAUACGGAAGAAGCCAAUUACCUUUCGAACUCUACAGUCGACCUCUCGUAAUCAAUGGAACGCUGAACGUGGCGUACGGACUUAUCUCGUACAUCUCUGCGAGUGAUAACGAGGCAUUUGUGAAACUGUAUUCAUCAAAAUGACUUAUCAGCUGGGAUACAUAGAGCUAUUGGGUUGGCCAAAAACAAAAAACUAUUCCAAGAACGAUUUCAUAUCCUCAUCAGCAGUAAAGG
Molecule: long non-coding RNA, 353 nt
Organism: Ooceraea biroi (clonal raider ant)
Lineage: Eukaryota; Metazoa; Arthropoda; Insecta; Hymenoptera; Formicidae
Source: RefSeq, a predicted model, not a curated record